This 496-nucleotide ribosomal RNA is filed under the name uncultured bacterium. RNAcentral's name for it is "partial 16S ribosomal RNA". It matches the Rfam family "Bacterial small subunit ribosomal RNA", at positions 28 to 507 of the family's 1533-position model. The record is from RNAcentral.
GAUGAACGCUGGCGGCGUGCCUAAUACAUGCAAGUCGAGCGAACGGACGAGAAGCUUGCUUCUCUGAUGUUAGCGGCGGAAGGGUGAGUAACACGUGGAUAACCUACCUAUAAGACUGGGAUAACUUCGGGAAACCGGAGCUAAUACCGGAUAAUAUUUUGAACCGCAUGGUUCAAAAGUGAAAGACGGUCUUGCUGUCACUUAUAGAUGGAUCCGCGCUGCAUUAGCUAGUUGGUAAGGUAACGGCUUACCAAGGCAACGAUGCAUAGCCGACCUGAGAGGGUGAUCGGCCACACUGGAACUGAGACACGGUCAGACUCCUACGGGAGGCAGCAGUAGGGAAUCUUCCGCAAUGGGCGAAAGCCUGACGGAGCAACGCCGCGUGAGUGAUGAAGGUCUUCGGAUCGUAAAACUCUGUUAUUAGGGAAGAACAUAUGUGUAAGUAACUGUGCACAUCUUGACGGUACCUAAUCAGAAAGCCACGGCUAACUACGUG